AACAUGACUCUCGGCAAUGGAUAUCUCGGCUCUCGCAUCGAUGAAGAGCGCAGCGAAAUGCGAUACU
RNAcentral lists this ribosomal RNA (67 nucleotides) under Rhipidoglossum aff. laticalcar MSD-2018. RNAcentral's name for it is "partial 5.8S ribosomal RNA". It matches the Rfam family "5.8S ribosomal RNA", at positions 1 to 62 of the family's 154-position model. From Rfam's summary of the family: 5.8S ribosomal RNA (5.8S rRNA) is a component of the large subunit of the eukaryotic ribosome. It is transcribed by RNA polymerase I as part of the 45S precursor that also contains 18S and 28S rRNA. The record is from RNAcentral. Lineage: Eukaryota; Viridiplantae; Streptophyta; Magnoliopsida; Asparagales; Orchidaceae.